GUCAACAGUUCGUAGUAACUUCUCAUUUGUUUAAUUUAUUUUUAAUUGACAUCUUCUGGAGGACUUUACAAUGGCCCUGGUCCUUGAUUUGUGCCAAACUGUUCAGAUUUUCAUGCAAUGAAAUACAGACCUAGAGUGACAUGCCAGCUCUUGCUUGAUGGUAGCAGUUUGCAACCAUUGGACAAAAUUUGUGUGGAGAAAAGGUGAAAAUCUUUGAAGCUAUCAACACAUGAUGGCCAAUAGGAAGACUGUUGUAGGGAUGAGAAGUUUAAUGGCGAAUGAAGGCACAUACUCAAAGGAGGACCACAUAGAGCAGUGUUUGGCAGUUUUUGGCACACCAUGUGUUGUAGACUACAUCUUUCCUGAUACUUUGCCAGCAUUAUGACUGUAAGAACAUAAUGGGAGAUCUAGUCUACAAAAACUGGAGUGCUGAAUGUUACCACUUAAAAAGGUUGUUAAAACACUGAAGAUUCAAGAGGUACAAUCUUUUGAGAGCUAGGGGCCAUCUGUCUAGCGCUCUGGAUAAAAUAAGAAUGAGGGCUGCAAUCUAAACCUUGAGGAAUUAAACUCUUCAAUACUUUUUGCACCAUAACCACUUCAUCUCACAAGAGGUUAUGGUGAGUAUAUUUUCCUUGCACUGACUUACCCUCUAACAUUAAACGGUUUUCAAAUGGUUUGACACACUUACUGUCCUCAGGUGCAUGUGUGCUGCAUCUGAUCCAACUGAUACAGAAAUACUUGUAGAUUAGUGGGACCAUUCAAAGGGACAGGUGGUGAUAAUACUUUGGGUUAUUUGCCACCUGUUAGGGUCGACUGCCAAAUGGAUAAAACCAUGUAGGACUAAUAGUGAAUGAGACCUGAUACUUGAGUAAAAACUAAUCCGUUUAACAAUGGGUUCUUCCAAAAUGUCUUCAGUCUGGGCUCGGAGCAAUUAAUUAUCUUCUGUGUUCUGGCUGUUUUGGAAGCUCCCCCUGCUAAAAUCUCUCAAACUUGGCCCAGGAAUGCUAAAACCUCUCCUGUGGAAAAAUAAUCCCUGUACUUGUCCACCUCCUAGAUAAUCUCCAGCUGUUGUAUCAACAGCAUAGACUAGUCUGUUAGUGGGAGGAUCAUCCAUAUUCCAGGCACCGAAUUCUAUUUGAAUUUAAACUACCGGUAUAUGGCCCUCGCAGCACAAAAUGCUGGGUGGAGAAUCUAAAAUUGAUUUAUUGUUGAAGUUGUAAUCGACAAUCAAAUGUCUAUUCAGAUUUUUUUGGAACCUUUGAUUAAGGUGGAAGUAAGACCAAAGUUAACUCUGUAAUAAACCAGAAGCUGAUAUCUAG
Non-coding RNA from Pelobates cultripes (western spadefoot toad), 1319 nucleotides. The record is from the annotation of a GenBank genome assembly. NCBI's taxonomy places the organism in Eukaryota, Metazoa, Chordata, Amphibia, Anura, Pelobatidae.